AGGUCGAGUGAGUGAAAUGGAGAG
RNAcentral lists this non-coding RNA (24 nucleotides) under Arabidopsis thaliana (thale cress). The record is from RNAcentral. Lineage: Eukaryota; Viridiplantae; Streptophyta; Magnoliopsida; Brassicales; Brassicaceae.